RNAcentral lists this ribosomal RNA (253 nucleotides) under uncultured bacterium. RNAcentral's name for it is "partial 16S ribosomal RNA". It matches the Rfam family "Bacterial small subunit ribosomal RNA", at positions 524 to 776 of the family's 1533-position model. The record is from RNAcentral.
UACGUAGGGGGCAAGCGUUGUCCGGAUUUAUUGGGCGUAAAGAGCGUGUAGGCGGCCAGAUAGGUCCGUUGUGAAAACUGGAGGCUUAACCUCCAGCGGUCGAUGGAAACCAUUUGGCUAGAGUCCGGAAGAGGAGAGUGGAGUUCCUGGUGUAGCGGUGAAAUGCGCAGAUAUCAGGAAGAACACCCGUGGCGAAGGCGGCUCUCUGGGACGGUACUGACGCUGAGACGCGAAAGCGUGGGGAGCGAACAGG